GACGAACGCUGGCGGCGUGCUUAACACAUGCAAGUCGAACGGAAAGGCCCUGCUUUUGUGGGGUGCUCGAGUGGCGAACGGGUGAGUAACACGUGAGUAACCUGCCCUUGACUUUGGGAUAACUUCAGGAAACUGGGGCUAAUACCGGAUAGGAGCUCCUGCUGCAUGGUGGGGGUUGGAAAGUUUCGGCGGUUGGGGAUGGACUCGCGGCUUAUCAGCUUGUUGGUGGGGUAGUGGCUUACCAAGGCUUUGACGGGUAGCCGGCCUGAGAGGGUGACCGGCCACAUUGGGACUGAGAUACGGCCCAGACUCCUACGGGAGGCAGAAGUGGGGAAUAUGGCACAAUGGGCGGAAGCCUGAUGCAGCAACGCCGCGUGCGGGAUGACGGCCUUCGGGUUGUAAACCGCUUUCGCCUGUGACGAAGCGUGAGUGACGGUAAUGGGUAAAGAAGCACCGGCUAACUACGUG
RNAcentral lists this ribosomal RNA (468 nucleotides) under uncultured bacterium. Its description in RNAcentral is "partial 16S ribosomal RNA". It matches the Rfam family "Bacterial small subunit ribosomal RNA", at positions 28 to 507 of the family's 1533-position model. The record is from RNAcentral.